This is a long non-coding RNA of Gadus macrocephalus (Pacific cod), 335 nucleotides long. RefSeq lists it as uncharacterized. The transcript is spliced from 3 exons. Lineage: Eukaryota; Metazoa; Chordata; Actinopteri; Gadiformes; Gadidae. The record is from RefSeq and is a predicted model, not a curated record.
CAGAGGUCAGGCUCACGGUCUUGUUGACCAGGCGGUGGGGGUCAGGGUCAGGUCAGAGGUCGGGGGUCGGGCUCACGGUCUUGUUGACCAGGCGGUGGGGGUCGGGGGGUUGGGUCAGAGGUCGGGGGUCGGGCUCACGGUCUUGUUGACCAGGCGGUAGGGGUCAGGGUCGGGUCAGAGGUCAGGCUCACGGUCUUGUUGACCAGGCGGUGGGGGUCGGGGGUCAGGGGUCGGGCUCACGGUCUUGUUGACCAGGCGGUGGGGGUCAGAGGGUCGGGUCAGAGGUCGGGGGUCAGGCUCACGGUCUUGUUGACCAGGUGGUGGGGGUCGGGGGU